GGGGCCGUAGUCUAGCUUGGUAGGACCCGCGGUUCGGGACUGCGAGACCCAGGUUCAAAAGGUUCUGAAAAUCCUGGCGGCCCCA
RNAcentral lists this transfer RNA (85 nucleotides) under Candidatus Woesearchaeota archaeon. RNAcentral's name for it is "tRNA-Pro". It matches the Rfam family "tRNA". Rfam says of the family: Transfer RNA (tRNA) molecules are approximately 80 nucleotides in length. Their secondary structure includes four short double-helical elements and three loops (D, anti-codon, and T loops). Further hydrogen bonds mediate the characteristic L-shaped molecular structure. tRNAs have two regions of fundamental functional importance: the anti-codon, which is responsible for specific mRNA codon recognition, and the 3' end, to which the tRNAs corresponding amino acid is attached (by aminoacyl-tRNA synthetases). tRNAs cope with the degeneracy of the genetic code in two manners: having more than one tRNA (with a specific anti-codon) for a particular amino acid; and 'wobble' base-pairing, i.e. permitting non-standard base-pairing at the 3rd anti-codon position. The record is from RNAcentral. Lineage: Archaea; Nanobdellati; Candidatus Woesearchaeota.